AGAGGAUGCGAGGGUAUAUAAACGACCCUGCAGCAUCCAGGUCUUAUCACAUCUAGCCCCCGUACAACUUGGGAAAAGCAGUUCCUCGACUUCUACAUCCAUACUCAACAUGAAGGCUGUUGUCCUCCUGAUGUUGUGCGCCGUCGUGGCCAUGAGCUCCGCCACCUUCGCCCCUGCCAUCUACAACCCUCUCUUGUACAAGUUUGGUGGUCUUGGCCUGGGAUUGGGUGGUGGCCUGGGAUUCGGUGGUCUUGGAUUUGGUGGACUUGGCUUUGGCGGUCUGGGACUCGGCCUCGGUAGGUUUGGUCUACUGGGCGGUGGUUUGUACGGAGGCUUUCCUUUCCUUGGAGGCUUGAAGGGCGGCCUGUACUACUGAGCAGUUGGGCUCUGACAGGUAUCAGAAUAACCUCUUUCAUCCAUUAGUAGCUACGAUCCUUAAUUUUGUAAUUUUGAAAAUAAAAAAUGAUUUAUAAAA
Long non-coding RNA from Pomacea canaliculata, 475 nucleotides. RefSeq lists it as uncharacterized. The record is from RefSeq and is a predicted model, not a curated record. Lineage: Eukaryota; Metazoa; Mollusca; Gastropoda; Architaenioglossa; Ampullariidae. The transcript has 3 exons.